RNAcentral lists this transfer RNA (74 nucleotides) under bacterium. RNAcentral's name for it is "tRNA-Pro". It matches the Rfam family "tRNA". From Rfam's summary of the family: Transfer RNA (tRNA) molecules are approximately 80 nucleotides in length. Their secondary structure includes four short double-helical elements and three loops (D, anti-codon, and T loops). The record is from RNAcentral. RNAcentral also lists the same sequence under 1 other name.
CGGGGUGUAGCGCAGUUGGCUAGCGCACUCGCUUUGGGAGCGAGGGGUCGCGAGUUCGAGUCUCGCCACCCCGA